UACUUAACGCUCAACAGCAACAGAAAUAUUAUUGCCUCUCGCAUAUCCUCUCUUAUCUGUUCCUUCGUGAGGUGGUGUUAGAUUGGUUUAAUUUACACGUGGCCCACAAAGUUAAACACACAUGGAAUUUACAAUCUACAGGGAUGAUAAUAUCAUUUAUUUAAUCAAUGGCCAGAUCUUUCUGAUUAACGUGAGAGUUCGUAGAAAGUGAUUUAAUCAAUGGCCAGAUCUUUCUGAUUAACGUGAGAGUUCGUAGAAAGUGCCCAAUUAGUAUAGGUAUAGAUGGCCAGAUCUUUCUGAUUAACGUGAGAGUUCGUAGAAAGUGAUUUAAUCAAUGGCCAGAUCUUUCUGAUUAACGUGAGAGUUCGUAGAAAGUGCCCAAUUAGUAUAGGUAUAGAUAGAUAGAUAGAUAGAUAGAUUGUAUCCAAUGCAUACAUAGAUUAAUUAAAUUUAAUUGAACUUACUCAAUUCG
Molecule: long non-coding RNA, 472 nt
Filed under: Oryza sativa (Asian cultivated rice)
Lineage: Eukaryota; Viridiplantae; Streptophyta; Magnoliopsida; Poales; Poaceae
Description: long non-coding RNA (OSAT_LNC000752)
Source: RNAcentral